Molecule: ribosomal RNA, 459 nt
Filed under: uncultured bacterium
Lineage: Bacteria
Description: partial 16S ribosomal RNA
Rfam family: Bacterial small subunit ribosomal RNA
Source: RNAcentral
CCUACGGGUGGCAGCAGUGAGGAAUAUUGGUCAAUGGGCGCGAGCCUGAACCAGCCAAGUCGCGUGAGGGAAGACGGUCCUAUGGAUUGUAAACCUCUUUUGUCGGGGAGCAAAAGACGCCACGCGUGGCGUUCCGAGAGUACCCGAAGAAAAAGCAUCGGCUAACUCCGUGCCAGCAGCCGCGGUAAUACGGAGGAUUCGAGCGUUAUCGGGAUUUUUUGGGUUUAAAGGGUGCGCAGGCGGAAGAUCAAGUCAGCGGUAAAAUUGAGAGGCUCAACCUCUUCGAGACGUUGAAACUGGUUGUCUUGAGUGAGCGAGAGGUAUGCGGAAUGCGUGGUGUAGCGGUGAAAUGCAUAGAUAUCACGCAGAACUCCGAUUGCGAAGGCAGCAUACCGGCGCUCAACUGACGCUCAUGCACGAAAGUGUGGGUAUCGAACAGGAUUAGAUACCCGGGUAGUC